GACGAACCGCCCGAACGUUAUUCGGAAUCACUGGGCUUAAAGGGAGCGUAGGCGGGCUGCCAAGUCCGGGGUGAAAUCCUCCAGCUUAACUGGAGAACUGCCUCGGAUACUGGAAGUCUCGAGGAGGGUAGGGGCAAGUGGAACCGUGGGUGGAGCGGUGAAACGCGUUGAUAUCCAUGGGAACUCCGGUGGCGAAGGCGACUUGCUGGACCCUUUCUGACGCUGAGGCUCGAAAGCCAGGGGAGCAAACGGG
Molecule: ribosomal RNA, 253 nt
Filed under: uncultured bacterium
Lineage: Bacteria
Description: partial 16S ribosomal RNA
Rfam family: Bacterial small subunit ribosomal RNA
Source: RNAcentral